GGAGGGAUGUCCGAGUGGCUUAAGGAGCACGCUUGGAAAGCGUGUGUACGCUAACCCGUACCGUGGGUUCGAAUCCCACUCCCUCCG
RNAcentral lists this transfer RNA (87 nucleotides) under Parachlamydiaceae bacterium. RNAcentral's name for it is "tRNA-Ser". It matches the Rfam family "tRNA". Rfam says of the family: Transfer RNA (tRNA) molecules are approximately 80 nucleotides in length. Their secondary structure includes four short double-helical elements and three loops (D, anti-codon, and T loops). Lineage: Bacteria; Pseudomonadati; Chlamydiota; Chlamydiia; Parachlamydiales; Parachlamydiaceae. The record is from RNAcentral.